UUAAGUGAAAUCUUGGGGAUAAUAGGGAACCGGGUGUAAAUCCCGGGCGAUCCGGUCACUGUCAUGGUCAGCGAAGCGCAGAUUCCAUUGCCGCAAGGUGAGAAGGAGCGACGAGCGUUACGGCCUCAGCCAGGAAACCUGCUUAACU
RNAcentral lists this non-coding RNA (148 nucleotides) under human gut metagenome. The record is from RNAcentral.